RNAcentral lists this long non-coding RNA (570 nucleotides) under Triticum aestivum (bread wheat). Its description in RNAcentral is "long non-coding RNA (TAES_LNC001428)". The record is from RNAcentral. Lineage: Eukaryota; Viridiplantae; Streptophyta; Magnoliopsida; Poales; Poaceae.
ACAAAACAGCAACAUGGCUUCAUCUGUCAUCAUGUUACAUGAAUCAGAGAAGAAUGAGAAAAACUGGGGCAAAUAUAUUAUGAACAGACCAUUCAAGAAAAGCACAUGUAUUUAGAAUGAUAACACAAAUUCAGCUAGUACCAUGCUUUUUGUUGUCGAGCUAGUUAAAAUGAGAUAGUAGUUCAUAUAAGAAACAGAGACACAAUAUGAAUAUGCAUGGCGCAUAUGCAGGUUGUGCAAAAACCUGCACUACAACACAUUGCGCCUGAAACAAAAUACCAUUCUACUAUCACGACCAUACAUUCAACUGGGAAGAUCUAACAAUACUCGUCAGCACACGCAUACUAACAUCACAAAGGCAGGGGAGAAUAAAGGGAACCAAGGAAGAUACCUGUGGAUGAUAGUGUCGAUGAUGAUCUGGAUUGAGUUAGCAUUGAUGAGGAAGUGGAUGGUGUCCAUGGUGUGCUUUAGAUGCACACAGCCAUGAGCUUCUUGCCGUUGUUGCAUCCGUUCGCUCGAUUAUGGGUACAAAUGCAUCCAAGUAGAACAAAACCACCAACAUUAACCCAC